This 426-nucleotide ribosomal RNA is filed under the name uncultured bacterium. RNAcentral describes it as "SSU rRNA". It matches the Rfam family "Bacterial small subunit ribosomal RNA", at positions 369 to 808 of the family's 1533-position model. The record is from RNAcentral.
CAAUGGGGGGAACCCUGNAUGCAGCGACGCCGCGUGAGUGAAGAAGUAUUUCGGGUAUGUAAAGCUCUAUCAGCAGGGGAAGAAAAUGACGGUACCUGUACUAAGAAGCCCCGGCUAACUACGUGCCAGCAGCCGCGGUAAUACGUAGGGGGCAAGCGUUAUCCGGAUUUACUGGGUGUAAAGGGAGCGUANACGGUAAAGCAAGUCUGAAGUGAAAGCCCGGGGCUCAACCCCGGGACUGCUUUGGAAACUGUCUGGCUCGAGUGCCGGAGAGGUAAGCGGAAUUCCUAGUGUAGCGGUGAAAUGCGUAGAUAUUAGGAGGAACACCAGUGGCGAAGGCGGCUUACUGGACGGCAACUGACGUUGAGGCUCGAAAGCGUGGGGAGCAAACAGGAUUAGAUACCCUGGUAGUCCAAGGGCGAAUUC